GGGUUGUGAGGUUAAGCGACUAAGCGUACACGGUGGAUGCCCUGGCAGUCAGAGGCGAUGAAGGACGUGCUAAUCUGCGAUAAGCGUCGGUAAGGUGAUAUGAACCGUUAUAACCGGCGAUUUCCGAAUGGGGAAACCCAGUGUGUUUCGACACACUAUCAUUAACUGAAUCCAUAGGUUAAUGAGGCGAACCGGGGGAACUGAAACAUCUAAGUACCCCGAGGAAAAGAAAUCAACCGAGAUUCCCCCAGUAGCGGCGAGCGAACGGGGAGCAGCCCAGAGCCUGAAUCAGUGUGUGUGUUAGUGGAAGCGUCUGGAAAGGCGCGCGAUACAGGGUGACAGCCCCGUACACAAAAAUGCACAUGCUGUGAGCUCGAUGAGUAGGGCGGGACACGUGGUAUCCUGUCUGAAUAUGGGGGGACCAUCCUCCAAGGCUAAAUACUCCUGACUGACCGAUAGUGAACCAGUACCGUGAGGGAAAGGCGAAAAGAACCCCGGCGAGGGGAGUGAAAAAGAACCUGAAACCGUGUACGUACAAGCAGUGGGAGCACGCUUAGGCGUGUGACUGCGUACCUUUUGUAUAAUGGGUCAGCGACUUAUAUUCUGUAGCAAGGUUAACCGAAUAGGGGAGCCGAAGGGAAACCGAGUCUUAACUGGGCGUUAAGUUGCAGGGUAUAGACCCGAAACCCGGUGAUCUAGCCAUGGGCAGGUUGAAGGUUGGGUAACACUAACUGGAGGACCGAACCGACUAAUGUUGAAAAAUUAGCGGAUGACUUGUGGCUGGGGGUGAAAGGCCAAUCAAACCGGGAGAUAGCUGGUUCUCCCCGAAAGCUAUUUAGGUAGCGCCUCGUGAAUUCAUCUCCGGGGGUAGAGCACUGUUUCGGCAAGGGGGUCAUCCCGACUUACCAACCCGAUGCAAACUGCGAAUACCGGAGAAUGUUAUCACGGGAGACACACGGCGGGUGCUAACGUCCGUCGUGAAGAGGGAAACAACCCAGACCGCCAGCUAAGGUCCCAAAGUCAUGGUUAAGUGGGAAACGAUGUGGGAAGGCCCAGACAGCCAGGAUGUUGGCUUAGAAGCAGCCAUCAUUUAAAGAAAGCGUAAUAGCUCACUGGUCGAGUCGGCCUGCGCGGAAGAUGUAACGGGGCUAAACCAUGCACCGAAGCUGCGGCAGCGACGCUGAUGCGUUGUUGGGUAGGGGAGCGUUCUGUAAGCCUGCGAAGGUGUGCUGUGAGGCAUGCUGGAGGUAUCAGAAGUGCGAAUGCUGACAUAAGUAACGAUAAAGCGGGUGAAAAGCCCGCUCGCCGGAAGACCAAGGGUUCCUGUCCAACGUUAAUCGGGGCAGGGUGAGUCGACCCCUAAGGCGAGGCCGAAAGGCGUAGUCGAUGGGAAACAGGUUAAUAUUCCUGUACUUGGUGUUACUGCGAAGGGGGGACGGAGAAGGCUAUGUUGGCCGGGCGACGGUUGUCCCGGUUUAAGCGUGUAGGCUGGUUUUCCAGGCAAAUCCGGAAAAUCAAGGCUGAGGCGUGAUGACGAGGUACUACGGUGCUGAAGCAACAAAUGCCCUGCUUCCAGGAAAAGCCUCUAAGCAUCAGGUAACAUCAAAUCGUACCCCAAACCGACACAGGUGGUCAGGUAGAGAAUACCAAGGCGCUUGAGAGAACUCGGGUGAAGGAACUAGGCAAAAUGGUGCCGUAACUUCGGGAGAAGGCACGCUGAUAUGUAGGUGAAGUCCCUUGCGGAUGGAGCUGAAAUCAGUCGAAGAUACCAGCUGGCUGCAACUGUUUAUUAAAAACACAGCACUGUGCAAACACGAAAGUGGACGUAUACGGUGUGACGCCUGCCCGGUGCCGGAAGGUUAAUUGAUGGGGUCAGCGCAAGCGAAGCUCUUGAUCGAAGCCCCGGUAAACGGCGGCCGUAACUAUAACGGUCCUAAGGUAGCGAAAUUCCUUGUCGGGUAAGUUCCGACCUGCACGAAUGGCGUAAUGAUGGCCAGGCUGUCUCCACCCGAGACUCAGUGAAAUUGAACUCGCUGUGAAGAUGCAGUGUACCCGCGGCAAGACGGAAAGACCCCGUGAACCUUUACUAUAGCUUGACACUGAACAUUGAGCCUUGAUGUGUAGGAUAGGUGGGAGGCUUGGAAGUGUGGACGCCAGUCUGCAUGGAGCCGACCUUGAAAUACCACCCUUUAAUGUUUGAUGUUCUAACGUUGACCCGUAAUCCGGGUUGCGGACAGUGUCUGGUGGGUAGUUUGACUGGGGCGGUCUCCUCCUAAAGAGUAACGGAGGAGCACGAAGGUUGGCUAAUCCUGGUCGGACAUCAGGAGGUUAGUGCAAUGGCAUAAGCCAGCUUGACUGCGAGCGUGACGGCGCGAGCAGGUGCGAAAGCAGGUCAUAGUGAUCCGGUGGUUCUGAAUGGAAGGGCCAUCGCUCAACGGAUAAAAGGUACUCCGGGGAUAACAGGCUGAUACCGCCCAAGAGUUCAUAUCGACGGCGGUGUUUGGCACCUCGAUGUCGGCUCAUCACAUCCUGGGGCUGAAGUAGGUCCCAAGGGUAUGGCUGUUCGCCAUUUAAAGUGGUACGCGAGCUGGGUUUAGAACGUCGUGAGACAGUUCGGUCCCUAUCUGCCGUGGGCGCUGGAGAACUGAGGGGGGCUGCUCCUAGUACGAGAGGACCGGAGUGGACGCAUCACUGGUGUUCGGGUUGUCAUGCCAAUGGCACUGCCCGGUAGCUAAAUGCGGAAGAGAUAAGUGCUGAAAGCAUCUAAGCACGAAACUUGCCCCGAGAUGAGUUCUCCCUGACCCUUUAAGGGGCCUGAAGGAACGUUGAAGACGACGACGUUGAUAGGCCGGGUGUGUAAGCGCAGCGAUGCGUUGAGCUAACCGGUACUAAUGAACCGUGAGGCUUAACCUUACAACGCCGAAG
Molecule: ribosomal RNA, 2925 nt
Filed under: Escherichia coli
Lineage: Bacteria; Pseudomonadati; Pseudomonadota; Gammaproteobacteria; Enterobacterales; Enterobacteriaceae
Description: 23S ribosomal RNA
Rfam family: Bacterial large subunit ribosomal RNA
Source: RNAcentral